AAGUCGUAUCAAGGUCUCCGUUGGUGAACCAGCGGAGGGAUCAUUACAGAGUUUAUCUUAACUCCCAAACCCCAUGUGAACAUACCAUACGUUGCCUCGGCAGGUCGCGUCGUACCCGGGAGGGUCCUACCCCGUAGGACCUACCCGGUGCGCGCGGUCAACGCCUGCCGGCGGCCCAUGAAACUCUGUUUACCAUUGGACUUCUGAACACAUAACUAAAUAAGUUAAAA
RNAcentral lists this unclassified non-coding RNA (230 nucleotides) under plant metagenome. RNAcentral describes it as "partial contains small subunit ribosomal RNA and internal transcribed spacer 1". The stretch from base 1 to 46 matches the Rfam family "Eukaryotic small subunit ribosomal RNA", at positions 1786 to 1831 of the family's 1831-position model. The record is from RNAcentral.